UGUUCCUCCUGGUCUAUUCAC
This is a non-coding RNA of Caenorhabditis elegans, 21 nucleotides long. The record is from Ensembl. Lineage: Eukaryota; Metazoa; Nematoda; Chromadorea; Rhabditida; Rhabditidae.